This 253-nucleotide ribosomal RNA is filed under the name uncultured bacterium. RNAcentral describes it as "partial 16S ribosomal RNA". It matches the Rfam family "Bacterial small subunit ribosomal RNA", at positions 524 to 776 of the family's 1533-position model. The record is from RNAcentral.
UACGUAGGCAGCAAGCGUUGUUCGGAGUUACUGGGCGUAAAGGGUGCGUAGGCGGUCGGGUAAGUCUGACGUGAAAUCUCCAAGCCUAACUUGGAAACUGCGUUGGAUACUCUCCGGCUAGAGGAAUGGAGGGGAGACUGGAAUACUUGGUGUAGCAGUGAAAUGCGUAGAGAUCGGGAGGAACAUCUGUGGCGAAGGCGGCCACCUGGACCAGCACUGACACUGAGGCACGAAAGCGUGGGGAGCAAACAGG